Molecule: transfer RNA, 63 nt
Filed under: Schyzocotyle nayarensis
Lineage: Eukaryota; Metazoa; Platyhelminthes; Cestoda; Bothriocephalidea; Bothriocephalidae
Description: tRNA-Trp
Source: RNAcentral
AUAGAUUUAAGUUAUGUUAGACUAAGUGUUUUCAAAACAUUAAGCGGCUUUGGCCAAUCUAUG